Molecule: ribosomal RNA, 258 nt
Filed under: uncultured bacterium
Lineage: Bacteria
Description: partial 16S ribosomal RNA
Rfam family: Bacterial small subunit ribosomal RNA
Source: RNAcentral
UAGGGAAUCUUCCACAAUGGACGCAAGUCUGAUGGAGCAACGCCGCGUGAGUGAAGAAGGCUUUCGGGUCGUAAAACUCUGUUAUUGAAGAAGAACGUGUGUGACAGUAACUGGUCAUGCAGUGACGGUAUUCAAUCAGAAAGUCACGGCUAACUACGUGCCAGCAGCCGCGGUAAUACGUAGAUGGCAAGCGUUGUCCGGAUUUAUUGGGCGUAAAGCGAGUGCAGGCGGUCUUUUAAGUCUGAUGUGAAAGGCCUU